RNAcentral lists this transfer RNA (77 nucleotides) under Bdellovibrionales bacterium. Its description in RNAcentral is "tRNA-Asp". It matches the Rfam family "tRNA". Rfam says of the family: Transfer RNA (tRNA) molecules are approximately 80 nucleotides in length. Their secondary structure includes four short double-helical elements and three loops (D, anti-codon, and T loops). Further hydrogen bonds mediate the characteristic L-shaped molecular structure. tRNAs have two regions of fundamental functional importance: the anti-codon, which is responsible for specific mRNA codon recognition, and the 3' end, to which the tRNAs corresponding amino acid is attached (by aminoacyl-tRNA synthetases). tRNAs cope with the degeneracy of the genetic code in two manners: having more than one tRNA (with a specific anti-codon) for a particular amino acid; and 'wobble' base-pairing, i.e. permitting non-standard base-pairing at the 3rd anti-codon position. Lineage: Bacteria; Pseudomonadati; Bdellovibrionota; Bdellovibrionia; Bdellovibrionales. The record is from RNAcentral.
GGGGCGGUAGUUCAGUUGGUUAGAACGCCGGCCUGUCACGUCGGAGGUCGCGGGUUCAAGUCCCGUCCGCCCCGCCA